This 824-nucleotide ribosomal RNA is filed under the name Staphylococcus succinus. RNAcentral's name for it is "bacterial SSU rRNA". It matches the Rfam family "Bacterial small subunit ribosomal RNA", at positions 1 to 814 of the family's 1533-position model. Lineage: Bacteria; Bacillati; Bacillota; Bacilli; Caryophanales; Staphylococcaceae. The record is from RNAcentral.
AAAUUGAAGAGUUUGAUCAUGGCUCAGAUUGAACGCUGGCGGCAGGCCUAACACAUGCAAGUCGAACGGUAACAGGAAACAGCUUGCUGUUUCGCUGACGAGUGGCGGACGGGUGAGUAAUGUCUGGGAAACUGCCUGAUGGAGGGGGAUAACUACUGGAAACGGUAGCUAAUACCGCAUAACGUCGCAAGACCAAAGAGGGGGACCUUCGGGCCUCUUGCCAUCGGAUGUGCCCAGAUGGGAUUAGCUAGUAGGUGGGGUAACGGCUCACCUAGGCGACGAUCCCUAGCUGGUCUGAGAGGAUGACCAGCCACACUGGAACUGAGACACGGUCCAGACUCCUACGGGAGGCAGCAGUGGGGAAUAUUGCACAAUGGGCGCAAGCCUGAUGCAGCCAUGCCGCGUGUAUGAAGAAGGCCUUCGGGUUGUAAAGUACUUUCAGCGGGGAGGAAGGGAGUAAAGUUAAUACCUUUGCUCAUUGACGUUACCCGCAGAAGAAGCACCGGCUAACUCCGUGCCAGCAGCCGCGGUAAUACGGAGGGUGCAAGCGUUAAUCGGAAUUACUGGGCGUAAAGCGCACGCAGGCGGUUUGUUAAGUCAGAUGUGAAAUCCCCGGGCUCAACCUGGGAACUGCAUCUGAUACUGGCAAGCUUGAGUCUCGUAGAGGGGGGUAGAAUUCCAGGUGUAGCGGUGAAAUGCGUAGAGAUCUGGAGGCAUAACGGUGGCGAAGGCGGCCCCCUGGACGAAGACUGACGCUCAGGUGCGAAAGCGUGGGGAGCAGACAGGAUUAGAUACCCUGGUAGUCCACGCCGUAAACGAUGUCG